This 3041-nucleotide ribosomal RNA is filed under the name Cupriavidus taiwanensis. RNAcentral describes it as "bacterial LSU rRNA". It matches the Rfam family "Bacterial large subunit ribosomal RNA". The record is from RNAcentral. Lineage: Bacteria; Pseudomonadati; Pseudomonadota; Betaproteobacteria; Burkholderiales; Burkholderiaceae.
UCAAGCGAACAAGUGCAUGUGGUGGAUGCCUUGGCGAUCACAGGCGAUGAAGGACGCGGUAGCCUGCGAAAAGCUUCGGGGAGCUGGCAAACAAGCUUUGAUCCGGAGAUGUCCGAAUGGGGAAACCCGGCCCGUAUGGGUCAUCCCACACUGAAUCCAUAGGUGUGGGAAGCGAACGCGGCGAACUGAAACAUCUAAGUAGCUGCAGGAACAGAAAUCAACCGAGAUUCCCAAAGUAGUGGCGAACGAAAUGGGAAGAGCCUUGCACUCUUUAGCAGGACUGUUAGCAAAACGGGAUGGAAAGCCCGGCCAUAGCAGGUGAUAGCCCUGUAUGCGAAAACAGACUUGUGGAACUAGGUGUGCGACAAGUAGGGCGGGACACGUGAAAUCCUGUCUGAAGAUGGGGGGACCAUCCUCCAAGGCUAAAUACUCGUGAUCGACCGAUAGUGAACCAGUACCGUGAGGGAAAGGCGAAAAGAACCCCGGGAGGGGAGUGAAAUAGAUCCUGAAACCGCAUGCAUACAAACAGUCGGAGCCUCGUAAGGGGUGACGGCGUACCUUUUGUAUAAUGGGUCAGCGACUUACAUUCAGUGGCAAGCUUAACCGAUUAGGGAAGGCGUAGCGAAAGCGAGUCCGAACAGGGCGUUGAGUCGCUGGGUGUAGACCCGAAACCAGAUGAUCUAUCCAUGGCCAGGUUGAAGGUGCGGUAACACGUACUGGAGGACCGAACCCACUAACGUUGAAAAGUUAGGGGAUGAGCUGUGGAUAGGGGUGAAAGGCUAAACAAAUCUGGAAAUAGCUGGUUCUCUCCGAAAACUAUUUAGGUAGUGCCUCGUGUCUCACCUUCGGGGGUAGAGCACUGUCAUGGUUGGGGGGUCUAUUGCUGAUUACCCCGCCAUAGCAAACUCCGAAUACCGAAGAGUGCAAUCACGGGAGACAGACAUCGGGUGCUAACGUCCGGUGUCAAGAGGGAAACAACCCAGACCGCCAGCUAAGGUCCCCAAAUAUAGCUAAGUGGGAAACGAAGUGGGAAGGCUAAAACAGUCAGGAGGUUGGCUUAGAAGCAGCCACCCUUUAAAGAAAGCGUAAUAGCUCACUGAUCGAGUCGUCCUGCGCGGAAGAUGUAACGGGGCUAAGCUAUAUACCGAAGCUGCGGACGCACGCAAGUGCGUGGUAGGAGAGCGUUCUGUAAGCCUGUGAAGGUGUCUUGUAAAGGAUGCUGGAGGUAUCAGAAGUGCGAAUGCUGACAUGAGUAGCGAUAAAGGGGGUGAAAGGCCCCCUCGCCGUAAGCCCAAGGUUUCCUACGCAACGUUCAUCGGCGUAGGGUGAGUCNCGUGGUAGGAGAGCGUUCUGUAAGCCUGUGAAGGUGUCUUGUAAAGGAUGCUGGAGGUAUCAGAAGUGCGAAUGCUGACAUGAGUAGCGAUAAAGGGGGUGAAAGGCCCCCUCGCCGUAAGCCCAAGGUUUCCUACGCAACGUUCAUCGGCGUAGGGUGAGUCGGCCCCUAAGGCGAGGCAGAGAUGCGUAGCUGAUGGGAAGCAGGUUAAUAUUCCUGCACCGUCGUAUGAUGCGAUGGGGGGACGGAUCGCGGAAGGUUGUCCGGGUGUUGGAAGUCCCGGUCCCUGCAUUGGAGAAGGCGCUCAGGCAAAUCCGGGCGCGGGAUUCAAGAGUGUGGGGCGAGCGGCCUAGUGCUGCGAAGCAAUUGGAAGUGGUUCCAAGAAAAGCCUCUAAGCUUCAGUCAUACGAGACCGUACCGCAAACCGACACAGGUGGGCGAGAUGAGUAUUCUAAGGCGCUUGAGAGAACUCGGGAGAAGGAACUCGGCAAAUUGGUACCGUAACUUCGGGAUAAGGUACGCCCUGGUAGCUUGACUGGCCUGCGCCAGAAGGGUGAAGGGGUUGCAAUAAAAUGGUGGCUGCGACUGUUUAAUAAAAACACAGCACUCUGCAAACACGAAAGUGGACGUAUAGGGUGUGACGCCUGCCCGGUGCCGGAAGAUUAAAUGAUGGGGUGCAAGCUCUUGAUUGAAGUCCCGGUAAACGGCGGCCGUAACUAUAACGGUCCUAAGGUAGCGAAAUUCCUUGUCGGGUAAGUUCCGACCUGCACGAAUGGCGUAACGAUGGCCACACUGUCUCCUCCCGAGACUCAGCGAAGUUGAAGUGUUUGUGAUGAUGCAAUCUCCCCGCGGCUAGACGGAAAGACCCCAUGAACCUUUACUGUAGCUUUGCAUUGGACUUUGAACCGAUCUGUGUAGGAUAGGUGGGAGGCUUUGAAGCGUGGACGCUAGUCUACGUGGAGCCGUCCUUGAAAUACCACCCUGGUUUGUUUGAGGUUCUAACCUUGGCCCGUGAAUCCGGGUCGGGGACAGUGCAUGGUAGGCAGUUUGACUGGGGCGGUCUCCUCCCAAAGUGUAACGGAGGAGUUCGAAGGUACGCUUGGUACGGUCGGACAUCGUACCUAAAGUGCAAUGGCAAAAGCGUGCUUAACUGCGAGACCGACAAGUCGAGCAGGUGCGAAAGCAGGACAUAGUGAUCCGGUGGUUCUGAAUGGAAGGGCCAUCGCUCAACGGAUAAAAGGUACUCUGGGGAUAACAGGCUGAUACCGCCCAAGAGUUCAUAUCGACGGCGGUGUUUGGCACCUCGAUGUCGGCUCAUCUCAUCCUGGGGCUGUAGCCGGUCCCAAGGGUAUGGCUGUUCGCCAUUUAAAGAGGUACGUGAGCUGGGUUUAAAACGUCGUGAGACAGUUUGGUCCCUAUCUGCCGUGGGCGUUGGAAUCUUGACGGGGGCUGCUCCUAGUACGAGAGGACCGGAGUGGACGUACCGCUGGUGUACCUGUUGUCUCGCCAGAGGCAUCGCAGGGUAGCUAUGUACGGAAGAGAUAACCGCUGAAAGCAUCUAAGCGGGAAACUCGCCUGAAGAUGAGGAUUCCCUGGCGGCUUGACCGCCUUGAAGGGUCGUUCGAGACCAGGACGUUGAUAGGCUGGGUGUGGAAGCGCAGUAAUGCGUUAAGCUAACCAGUACUAAUUGCCCGUAAGGCUUGAUCCU